GACGAACGCUGGCGGCGUGCUUGACACAUGCAAGUCGAACGGUAAGGCCCUUCGGGGUACACGAGUGGCGAACGGGUGAGUAACACGUGGGUGAUCUGCCCUGCACUUCGGGAUAAGCCUGGGAAACUGGGUCUAAUACCGGAUAGGACUCCUGGCUUCAUGGUUGGGGGUGGGAAGCUUUUGCGGUGUGGGAUGGGCCCGCGGCCUAUCAGCUUGUUGGUGGGGUAAUGGCCUACCAAGGCGACGACGGGUAGCCGGCCUGAGAGGGUGACCGGUCACACUGGGACUGAGAUACGGCCCAGACUCCUACGGGAGGCAGCAGUGGGGAAUAUUGCACAAUGGGCGCAAGCCUGAUGCAGCGACGCCGCGUGAGGGAUGACGGCCUUCGGGUUGUAAACCUCUUUCAGCUAUGACGAAGCGCAAGUGACGGUAGUAGCAGAAGAAGGACCGGCCAACUACGUGCCAGCCGCCGCGGUAA
Molecule: ribosomal RNA, 478 nt
Filed under: uncultured bacterium
Lineage: Bacteria
Description: partial 16S ribosomal RNA
Rfam family: Bacterial small subunit ribosomal RNA
Source: RNAcentral